Molecule: small nucleolar RNA, 87 nt
Organism: Sarcophilus harrisii (Tasmanian devil)
Lineage: Eukaryota; Metazoa; Chordata; Mammalia; Dasyuromorphia; Dasyuridae
Product: small nucleolar RNA, C/D box 87
Source: Ensembl
CAUGGUACUAUGAUGACCUAAUACUACCUUAUGCCGUUUACCCAACUGAGUAUUACUUUGAUGCAAAUCUAAAAACUGAGUACCAGU